AAAGUCGUAACAAGGUUUCCGUAGGUGAACCUGCGGAAGGAUCAUCGCCGAUGGUUUUAUACAAGUGGGGUUGUUUCUGGGGGGGGUGGUUGUCUCUCUUGGGGGAGAUGAUGCCUCUCUCUUGAACAUGCCUCGUACACUCCCAACAAACACAAUAGGGCUGACUGAGCGUGGAUGUAGCAUUGUUAUGGCAACACAACUUUCAACAACGGAUCUCUUGGCUCUC
RNAcentral lists this unclassified non-coding RNA (226 nucleotides) under Basidiomycota sp. RNAcentral describes it as "partial contains small subunit ribosomal RNA, internal transcribed spacer 1, and 5.8S ribosomal RNA". The stretch from base 1 to 47 matches the Rfam family "Eukaryotic small subunit ribosomal RNA", at positions 1785 to 1831 of the family's 1831-position model. Lineage: Eukaryota; Fungi; Basidiomycota. The record is from RNAcentral.